This 2399-nucleotide long non-coding RNA is filed under the name Triticum aestivum (bread wheat). RNAcentral describes it as "long non-coding RNA (TAES_LNC013369)". The record is from RNAcentral. Lineage: Eukaryota; Viridiplantae; Streptophyta; Magnoliopsida; Poales; Poaceae.
GGGGAAAAGAAUCAAUUUGCCAGCAUGCAACAGUAACUAAUUUUUUUCAUCCCCGGGUGCAUCCAGCUCGGUUGGUACAACACAUUCAGGUCAAGGAUAUAACUACUAAAGUCUAAAGCUCAACAGAAACAAGAUGCAGGCAUGUGUAGUUAACAGCAGCCACAACAACAUUUGAAUUCAGUUUCUGCCUACCAAAGCUAAGUAGUGGCAUGAUAUCAAUGCCACAGUUUCGAACUAGCAGUUAUGUAAACUAAAAGUAACAGCCCCAAGAUUUAACAUGCAUUUUACAUAACAGCCCUAUGAUUUAACAAAGUACAACAAACAACAAUUCAGGGAAGGGCAUAAAAGACAGUUCUGGUGUCCAACAACACCACGGUUGAUACACCCUUCUCUCCAUAAGCACGCACAGACAAUUGUAGCGAUGUUUUCCUGUUGGGGUUCAUCUCCCUCUCCUCAGGAGCAUUGCCGAUCCUAAUCCUGAACAAUUGGGUCAGCAAUGUACCCAAAAAAAUAAACAAACAGUUACAAAAGUAAUAGUCACAUAGAGAAACAAAAAUAGAUGCAGGUGAAGUUUGAAGAUGAUUCAAACAAUCCGUUACAGAAAUCAUUAGACUACUGGGUCAUCUCCCUUCUCGACAUAUUGGUCUCAUUGACAAUUCCAUCGCAUUCUUCCUGUUAACAUUUGCCUUACCUAACUAAGAGACACCAAUGCAUAAAAGCUCACACUCAUGGCGGUGUCAUAAACACUUCCAUAGAUUAAACAUGACAUGAAAUCAUUUACACUCAUGGCGGUGUCAACUGCUCGCAGAAAUGUGAAUUUUAACAGGCUGGCAUGCAAGAACGAAAUGAUCACCCCAAUGCCUCACAAAUUACCUAUUCAUAUUCAACAGGAGUGUAUGAUCUAGAAAUAUACAUCAUUUACAAAGAAUCUUCAAACUUGAUGACAUGAAUGAUAAUUCAUCAUCAGACCAUUGAGAAUCUGGUAGAUCACAUAUAAAAAAACUUAAGCUAACCAAGAAAUGUGGGUGUAUUCAAAAUCUAACCAAGAACAAGGCCGGCACAUACUAUGUUCAGAAUUAAUGGUUUUUUGGAUGAGGAAAUUUUAAUCUGAAACACCUUCUGGUCCAGCCACUUGUAGCUCCGCAACCAGCGUAUCUGACAAGGGAUGUGGCCUCGCCGCCACGACACACUUGACCAUCAACGUUGCUCAAGUCUGUGACUCCUGGGAAAGUGGUCAACGAAACAAACUGAAAUCCAUGGAACAGAAGAUUUUUGCAAUCAGUGGUAGGAAUUCAAACUCUACCCCACUUAAGAAAUAAUUAUUAACCUUGGAUUAGCACAUCAAGAACAGAACAUCAAAUCCAUUAUUAAGUUCCAGCAGGAUUAAGCAUCAAUUAUCCAAGUUAGAGGAAUCCUCAAGACAUCACAGAAAUUAAGUCAAUCUGGCACAUAAGCAUGGGUACGAAUAAAAAACAACAUAUAUAUUGUCUAUAAAAACAUCACGGCAAAUUUGGAUCUGCGCAGCAACAGGAUGAGGAGAGAUCUAUCCAGUCCAGACGAAGGGGAUUACAAACAAACAAAAGAAAAUCGCAUAUGUACAGAAGGAAUAGAAGGAAGGGGAUUACAAGAAAACAAAGGAGAGCAGUCUAUUUUGGAUUUAACAGCAGAAGUGAUAUGCAUCUCGAUCGAGCCAUACAGCUAGAUCACCCGUCUCAAAAGGAUAGAUGGAACAAAAUAAAAAUCACCAAAAAAAGUGCAAAUCUGGAACAGAUGAUCAACAGCUAGGAGAAAAGCACAAGUAAUUGACGUGUGAUCCAGCCUCACCGACCAAAAAAAUGAAGAAAAUGAAUUUUCCCGGCCACAUUCGUGGACGAGGGCCUUGCCCUGGGCAGAUCCGGUGUUCUGCAAACUUGAGUUGAGUCGCCGCUGGAGUGGAAGAUGACGCGGGAUCCGGGUGAUUUGGUCGCCGGAGUGGAGGAGGACGAGUGCUCCGGAGAGCCUGAACCUGUACAAAUCAAGCUCCCUUGGUCAACGUUAUUCAAAUUUGGCACGGGGAUUAGGCACACACGAUGACCUAAGAAAAAAAAAGAAGGCACGGAAUACACAUACCCGGCGCAGUCGCCGCCGUUGGUGGACAUCUCGCCGGAUAGCACCCCGCCGCCGUCGCCCGGGGGGAAAGAGAAGAGGGCAGAGAGGACUGGGGCUUCUCCACGGGGUAAAGUUUUGGGAUAGGGGACGACGAGAUUCUCCUUCCUGUGCUGUGGCGGGGGGCAGUCGCGGUCAAUGGGCCGCACAGAAUACGCCUACACACUCCCUAGGCGUAUCGCGGGCUGUAUUUCUCUGCAUAGGCCUGCCACCCACUGACGAGAUGCACAUCCCAAGGCCCAAAUGGACGCCCA